Molecule: non-coding RNA, 30 nt
Filed under: Mus musculus (house mouse)
Lineage: Eukaryota; Metazoa; Chordata; Mammalia; Rodentia; Muridae
Source: RNAcentral
UGAAGCACAAGAAACAACUAAAACCAAAGA